This 397-nucleotide ribosomal RNA is filed under the name uncultured bacterium. RNAcentral's name for it is "partial 16S ribosomal RNA". It matches the Rfam family "Bacterial small subunit ribosomal RNA", at positions 523 to 918 of the family's 1533-position model. The record is from RNAcentral.
AUACGUAGGGGGCGAGCGUUGUCCGGAAUGAUUGGGCGUAAAGGGCGCGUAGGCGGCCCGGUAAGUCUGGAGUGAAAGUCCUGUUUUUAAGAUGGGAAUUGCUUUGGAUACUGUCGGGCUUGAGUGCAGGAGAGGUAAGUGGAAUUCCCAGCGUAGCGGUGAAAUGCGUAGAGAUUGGGAGGAACACCAGUGGCGAAGGCGACUUACUGGACUGUAACUGACGCUGAGGCGCGAAAGUGUGGGGAGCAAACAGGAUUAGAUACCCUGGUAGUCCACACUGUAAACGAUGAAUGCUAGGUGUAGGGGGUAUCGACCCCUUCUGUGCCGCAGUCAACACAAUAAGCAUUCCGCCUGGGGAGUACGGCCGCAAGGUUGAAACUCAAAUGAAUUGACGGGG